UGGAUAGUUCAGUCAGUAGAACACGAUACUUUUAAUAUCAGGGUUGUGGGUUUGAACCCCACAUAGGGCAAAA
Molecule: non-coding RNA, 73 nt
Organism: Podarcis lilfordi (Lilford's wall lizard)
Lineage: Eukaryota; Metazoa; Chordata; Lepidosauria; Squamata; Lacertidae
Source: the annotation of a GenBank genome assembly